GUGUUGUAUGAAAGAAGGUUAGCACACCCUUGAUAAGGAUGGAAGAAGACCUAGUGCCCUAUACAACAUGCAUAUGUUUAAGACACUGCCACAUCAUGGCAUCUAACAAUGUUUAAC
Molecule: non-coding RNA, 117 nt
Filed under: Acanthisitta chloris (rifleman)
Lineage: Eukaryota; Metazoa; Chordata; Aves; Passeriformes; Acanthisittidae
Source: RNAcentral